AUACGUAGGUGGCAAGCGUUGUCCGGAAUUAUUGGGCGUAAAGCGCGCGCAGGCGGUUCUUUAAGUCUGAUGUGAAAGCCCCCGGCUCAACCGGGGAGGGUCAUUGGAAACUGGGGAACUUGAGUGCAGAAGAGGAAAGUGGAAUUCCAAGUGUAGCGGUGAAAUGCGUAGAGAUUUGGAGGAACACCAGUGGCGAAGGCGACUUUCUGGUCUGUAACUGACGCUGAGGCGCGAAAGCGUGGGGAGCAAACAGGAUUAGAUACCCUGGUAGUCCACGCCGUAAACGAUGAGUGCUAAGUGUUAGGGGGUUUCCGCCCCUUAGUGCUGCAGCUAACGCAUUAAGCACUCCGCCUGGGGAGUACGGUCGCAAGACUGAAACUCAAAUGAAUUGACGGGG
This 397-nucleotide ribosomal RNA is filed under the name uncultured bacterium. RNAcentral's name for it is "partial 16S ribosomal RNA". It matches the Rfam family "Bacterial small subunit ribosomal RNA", at positions 523 to 918 of the family's 1533-position model. The record is from RNAcentral.